UGCGGGAGGCAGCAGUGGGGAAUAUUGCACAAUGGGCGCAAGCCUGAUGCAGCCAUGCCGCGUGUAUGAAGAAGGCCUUCGGGUUGUAAAGUACUUUCAGCAGUGAGGAAGGUGGGUAUGUUAAUAGCAUACUCAUUUGACGUUAGCUGCAGAAGAAGCACCGGCUAACUCCGUGCCAGCAGCCGCGGUAAUACGGAGGGUGCGAGCGUUAAUCGGAAUUACUGGGCGUAAAGCGCAUGCAGGUGGUUUGUUAAGUCAGAUGUGAAAGCCCGGGGCUCAACCUCGGAAUUGCAUUUGAAACUGGCAAACUAGAGUACUGUAGAGGGGGUAGAAUUUCAGGUGUAGCGGUGAAAUGCGUAGAGAUCUGAAGGAAUACCGGUGGCGAAGGCGGCCCCCUGGACAGAUACUGACACUCAGAUGCGAAAGCGUGGGGAGCAAACAGGAUUAGAUACCCUGGUAG
Molecule: ribosomal RNA, 460 nt
Filed under: uncultured bacterium
Lineage: Bacteria
Description: bacterial SSU rRNA
Rfam family: Bacterial small subunit ribosomal RNA
Source: RNAcentral